This is an RNA transcript of Chenopodium quinoa (quinoa), 2874 nucleotides long. RefSeq lists it as uncharacterized. Lineage: Eukaryota; Viridiplantae; Streptophyta; Magnoliopsida; Caryophyllales; Amaranthaceae. The record is from RefSeq and is a predicted model, not a curated record. The transcript is spliced from 13 exons.
AUGUAGGAUAGGAAGCUGGAGCACAAGGUGGGGAUAAGUCUCAUGUUCAAAGUGGACAGGGAGUUGGGGAUGAGAACCCACAGCUUGGUGGAAAUGAGUUCGGGGAUAAGAACAUACAAGAAGAGGAACCCCCAGCAGAAGAAAGCAGCAGAAGAAAAAGAAAGCAGCGUCCCGGAAAAGAAAAGCAGUUGAAAAUGUCGUUCCAAUUGUCAUUACGGAAGGUGAAGAAGAAGAAACUGAACCAACAAAUAAGAAAAAGCAUGGAAGUGUCCUGUUAUGAGGAUUUAUCCAGACAGAGUUGUCGACGCGGUACCAAAAGGCACUACUCAAAAAGAAUGGAUUAGGGAGGUUGGAUUUUCCACAUUUCUAGAUGUGAAGUUUAAUGAACUUGACCGGUUUUUUCUGUUGUGGUUAAUGGGUCGGUGGGAUCCUGAAACCCAGUUACUACGCAUUAGGGAUGACUAUGAGAUCAAGAUCACUGAUGAAGUGGUGGGGUGGAUAUAUGGGCUGCCAUUCAGUGAUUAUACAUUCACUAUUGAAGAAAGUGUUACAGAUAUGUCCUUAUGGUGUGUACAAAAUGCAGAGGACAAAGAGUACAAGAAGCUGAAGAAUUCCUAUUCCAACAGAGAGGGUAUAGUUUAUGGCAUUGUUCAUGCUGAUAUGACAGAGAAUCUGAACAACAAGGAGAGGUUCUUGCAGUCCUAUGUUUUGUAUGUAUUUGUCAACCUAAUAUGUACAACUCUGAACAAUUGGAUUAGUCAACUUUUAUGCUGGAUUUUGAAGUCGCGGUACCUGGAAGAUGCACGGAAUUGGAAUUUUUCAAAGUUUGUGCUUGACUGGAUGAUCAAGCAGCAUAGAGAACUGGAUGCAGAGAAGGUGGGAUCCCCCAUCGUGCUAAUGAUUGCAUACCUUGACAGAUUGAAAUUAGGCGAUAAAGGAAAUCGGUGGCAUACCGAUAGACCAAGGCUUGGAAUGUGGCAGCAAGGUGAUAUUGAACGCGCGAUUCGUGCAGACACUGCUGCUGAUGGGUCGUAUGGUGCAGCAGAGGUUGUUAGGGAUGUUGUGUAUCGGAAAGAAUACCCUAUUGGUCCGCGGAAGGAUCUUCCUGUGUGGAUGACGAGUCCGCCUCCUGUGAAUCCUAAAGUUACCAUCGUGGAAAGGAAAAGAAAGAGACGGAAAUGCAGAACACAGGUCAGGGACUUGAAAGAAUACAAAGACAUUCAACACUAUAGUUCUUCCGGAGAAGAAGAGACAAGCAAAGGACAUGAGGAAGAGGCCAAUGCGGGACGAACUCAGAGGAGUAACAGAAAAAGACAAAGAAUCAGGAACUUUGUGUAGUUCCACCUGCUUUAACCCCUGCACGGGUUACAAGAUCAAGAAGCAGGUUGAUACAAAGGCAAACACAUGUUGAAGGGGAUAAAAAUGUAAAUUACUUGCAUAUAAAGUUUAUGACAUUGUGUUUGAAAAAGUUAAGCAUUUCUUGCCUAUAAGUAUAUAAUUAUUAGCAUCAUUUUACAUAUUACAGUAGCUUAUUAUUCAUAAAGGCAUCAUUUUUGUUUCACAUGUACAAAUGAAAACAAGGGAAACAAUCACCACUAGGAAAGGUGGCAGAACAAAAACAAAGGAUGUUAUCUCAAAAAAGAAAAGGACAAAAGGUAAGAAGGAAUCAAGUGAGGAUGAUUUAAGCACUGAGAGCAUCAGUGAGGAUGACGAAGCUGAUGACGAUGAUGAGGAGAAGGAUAGGAAUACGGAGGACGAUGAGGAUGAUGAAGAAACUGCCAGUGAUGAUGGGAGUGAAGGAGAACCAGGAAAUAAUGGUGAAGAUGAUGAUGAGCCUAAUAUAGAGGCCACAAACCCCAAAUCUGGGAAAGGAGAUGUGGGUGGGCCUGAUAAUGAAAAGAAUGGUAACGGGGGAAAUGAUGGUGAGGAAGAUAAAACGGUGGAAGAUGAUGGUGGAGAAGGGGGGGGUGAUGAUGACCGAAAUGAAAAGAAUGCAUAACCAAAUGUGGACUGCGACAACGAUUACCUGAGCGACCUUGAUGACAAUGAGGGAUUGCCCCAGAUUUUUUAUCACCAGCGACGCAGCAUCACGGCGAUCUGUGACAGAAAGUCAAACUAUACUAGGUUUAAGGAUCAGAUUUUGUUCAAGUGGUAUGAUGUAACAGUCAACCGUCAAUUGAAACACAAAGCAUGUAAGAAGAAGUCUCCCAUUCCAAUAGAGGUUAUGGACGAUUUUGCAGUUUACACAAACAACGAAGACUCCGGUACUGCAGAUUUUGGAUUCUACGUCUUUAGGCCAUCAUUUUUGUGCAACCUACUGGAAGAGGAUGCAAAACCUAAGCCUGUUGUUGAACAACUCUUGAUCGAUGAAUCGGAAAUGAUCGACAACUAUUUCUUGACUGGAGGGAGAAAAUUCAAGGAUAAUCGGAAGACGUUGAAACGUAUAGGUUUGUCAAGUGUGAGGACGUACCAACAACAAAAUCAGUCCAUGAGACGGGCAUGCUUUGUAUCCUCUUCCUCUAUAGUCAAACCCAGUCUGUUUUCUCAUGGCUUCGUAUGUAUGAAAAGAAUGAUCUCCUGUUUCGAAAAUUCAUGAUGUGGAGGAUGUUAAUGAGGACGUGCAAUGAAGUCAAGAACAACCUAGAUGGUCUACUUUUGUAGAUUUGGGGACAUUUGAAGUAUGAACAAUUUAUUUUCUAUGUUUCAAGUCAAAUCGAACUAGGUAAUUUCUUUAAGCAGAAACUUUUAACUUUUUAUUCUUUGUCAUUUUUUUAAACAAGGGAGUAGUCUAAACUAUUAACAUUUCCUCCUCUGUCCUUUAUUAAACAGCAUCACUAUGAAUUUCCACAAAUCAUAGUAUUAUAUUUGGAGUCA